This is a long non-coding RNA of Lathyrus oleraceus (garden pea), 1591 nucleotides long. RefSeq lists it as uncharacterized. NCBI's taxonomy places the organism in Eukaryota, Viridiplantae, Streptophyta, Magnoliopsida, Fabales, Fabaceae. The transcript has 4 exons. The record is from RefSeq and is a predicted model, not a curated record.
ACUCCUGGCCGUCCCCGUGCACUUGAAACGGAAUCCCCCGUGGGCCACUGCACCGGUCGUCUCUCCCAGCGGUGGUGGCCACCAAAACCACCGCCGGAGCUGGCAAAAUAACCGUCUAUCAUUGCUUUAACCAAAUCCACAGUCAAAAUCACCUUAUCCUUCUUCUAAGACCCUAAUCAAAUCAUAAUGUGCCAUGAACCCUAGCUAAUCAACUCCAAAUUAAACUCUAUAUGCGCCAAUUUUAAGCCCCUGGGAUGAGGGCUUUGAAUUCCCUCACUGCUCUCUACACUAUGGUAAUCAAGAAAUGGAGAACAGAGAAUUUGGAACUUACCGUAGCCGGAGAAAGGCGAAGGUGAUGAGGAACCGGUGACCUCUAAUUCUAGGUUAUGCUCAUGACCCUGCUACACUGUCCUUGUUGCUUGCUUGAUGCAGGAUCAAUUCCCUUGUUCUGCCAGCUUGUGGAUCAUGAUGAAUUGCAUGAAUGUCAUGAGGUGCUUGUUGCACUAGUUCUUCUAGCUUUUCUUGAUUGCUAGUGUUCAUGAAGGUAUUGGUCAUGUUGGCUGCAAUUGCUUGGUGUCGAUUCUGAUGCAUUGCAGGUCUGGCCAGGUAUGUACUCAAUUUUGUUAGGCAUACAUAAAUGUUUUCUAAUUCCAAUUCCUGUUAAACCUCAAAACUGCCCAAGUUGGGGCUUCUAUGAAAUGCUUGUGUUAUGUAACAGUUUAUGCAGAUUGGAAGGCUCAGGUUUGUGCAUGCAAGGUUUUGGUAAGGUGUUUGCUUCCUAUUGCAUUUGGACAUGACUGGACCAUGUUAACCUUUUGCCAAUUCAACUGUGGUUCAGCUACAUUAAUGUUGCUAUUUGGAUGCAGGGUCGAACUUCUGGAAGGAUGACAAUGUAGGUCAGUGGUGCGUUGCUGCAGGAUCAUCAAAUAUGUAGGCAAUUUUUUUUAUUGUUGCUCCAUGUAUUGGUCCUGGUUUGCCUCAUGUUGCAGGACUACUUUGUUUGACUUGGAUCUGAAACAGGUUUUAGGUUGUAGUUUCAAGUUUGUUGGCAUAUUCCAUGAUAGGAACAUGGCUACUGCAGGAUCAUGAUGGCAGGAUGUUGGUCAUAGUGAAUCCAAGACCAAACCCAUGUGUAUUCUCUUAUCCAAAUGGCCAAUGCAAGUGUAUUAUUUGAUCAUGUGACUAUGAUGCUUGGUUGUUGUGAAUGCAAGACCAUGUUAGCAAUGUAGAACCAUGGUUGGCAAGGCAAAAGGAACAAGUCAUGGCAUGGUGCAUAUGAUUUUGAAAAUGGGCUAGGUUACUUGGAAAUGAAGAAACGAGGCAAAAGCACAUCAAGCAUGACUUUUGGAUGAUGAAUCAAGGAGAAGUGGGUUAGAUUAGUUCUUAGGUGGUUAAAAAGGGGUGAGUUGACUUUGGUCAAAGUUGACCAAAAAGUCAAAUGUUGACCAAAGUCAAAUGUUGACCAAAGUCAACAUUUAGUCAAAGUUGUCAAAAUUUGUAUUUCUCCAUGUAAUGAUUGUAAUGGUUUAAAAUGGAUCAAAAUUGAUUUGAAAUUGGCUUGAAAUGGAUUGAAAAUGGUUUUCUCUUUGUA